GUACUCUCUGUGGCAGCACAUAUAACAAAAUUAAAAUGAUACAGGGACAAUUAGCAUGACUCCUGAGCAAGGAUGACAUUUAAAUUUGUGAAGCAUCCCAUAUUUAA
Molecule: small nuclear RNA, 107 nt
Filed under: Notamacropus eugenii (tammar wallaby)
Lineage: Eukaryota; Metazoa; Chordata; Mammalia; Diprotodontia; Macropodidae
Source: RNAcentral